AAUUCGCAAUGCAGCAUAUAAUCAGGAACAGGGGUUGGGAGCUCUCCGCUCAUGGAUCAACAGCAUCCAUCCCAACCCAACACGACGAGACGAGAAAGCACCAGCAGCAAACACGAGGGGCGGCACGGACGGUGGAAAACGUACCCCGAUGUAGCGGUCGCCGGCCGGUGGGGUCGAGACCUCGUCGACGCCGGGGUCGUCUUCCUCCUCGUCGGGCGGCUCCGCUUGCCCUUCGCCUGCGGCCUCCGGAUCGGGAGCCAUCGCGCCAGUCGCUCUCCUUCUCGAUCUCUUCCUCCGCAACCGCCGCCGCCUCCUCUCCGCCUGUGAGAUCAGGAUUCGAGUAGGCAGUGGAUGGACAUACCCUAGCUGAAUCGAGCAGCGCGAGCGAGGAGUCUCGAAACGCUUUCCAAGUUCCGCGGGUGUUUU
Molecule: long non-coding RNA, 426 nt
Filed under: Setaria italica (foxtail millet)
Lineage: Eukaryota; Viridiplantae; Streptophyta; Magnoliopsida; Poales; Poaceae
Description: long non-coding RNA (SITA_LNC005623)
Source: RNAcentral